AUUGAACGCUGGCGGCAUGCCUUACACAUGCAAGUCGAACGGUAACGGGCCUUCGGGUGCCGACGAGUGGCGAACGGGUGAGUAAUGUAUCGGAACGUACCUUUCAGUGGGGGAUAACGUAGCGAAAGUUACGCUAAUACCGCAUACGAUCUACGGAUGAAAGCGGGGGAUCGCAAGACCUCGCGCGAAUGGAGCGGCCGAUGUCAGAUUAGGUAGUUGGUGGGGUAAAGGCUCACCAAGCCGACGAUCUGUAGCUGGUCUGAGAGGACGACCAGCCACACUGGGACUGAGACACGGCCCAGACUCCUACGGGAGGCAGCGGUGGGGAAUUUUGGACAAUGGGCGCAAGCCUGAUCCAGCCAUUCCGCGUGCAGGAUGAAGGCCUUCGGGUUGUAAACUGCUUUUGUACGGAACGAAAAGGCUCUGGUUAAUACCUGGAGUUUAUGACGGUACCGUAAGAAUAAGCACCGGCUAACUACGUG
This 482-nucleotide ribosomal RNA is filed under the name uncultured bacterium. Its description in RNAcentral is "bacterial SSU rRNA". It matches the Rfam family "Bacterial small subunit ribosomal RNA", at positions 30 to 507 of the family's 1533-position model. The record is from RNAcentral.